RNAcentral lists this ribosomal RNA (271 nucleotides) under uncultured Actinomycetales bacterium. RNAcentral describes it as "partial 16S ribosomal RNA". It matches the Rfam family "Bacterial small subunit ribosomal RNA", at positions 1 to 278 of the family's 1533-position model. The record is from RNAcentral. Lineage: Bacteria; Bacillati; Actinomycetota; Actinomycetes; Actinomycetales.
UAGUGAGUUUGAUCCUGGCUCAGGACGAACGCUGGCGGCGUGCUUAACACAUGCAAGUCGAGCGGAAAGGCCACUUCGGUGGUACUCGAGCGGCGAACGGGUGAGUAACACGUGAGUAAUCCUGCCCCCACUUGGGAUAGCCACCGGAAACGGUGAUUAAUACCGGAUAUGACGUGCCCUCGCAUGGGGGUGUAUGGAAAGUUUUUUCGGUCUGGGAUGGGGGUUGCGGCGCAUCAGCUCGUUGGUGAGGUAAAGGCUCACCAAGGCAACG